GACGAACGCUGGCGGCGUGCUUAAUACAUGCAAGUCGAACGGAAAGGCCCUGCUUUUGUGGGGUGCAUGAGUGGCGAACGGGUGAGUAACACGUGAGUAACCUGCCCUUUACUUGGGGAUAACUUCAGGAAACUGUGGCUAAUACCGCAUAAGAGCUGCUGCUGCAUGGCGGUGGUUGGAAAGUUUCGGUGGUUGGGGUUGGACUCGCGGCUUAUCAGCUUUAUGGUGGGGUAGUGGAUUCGCAAGGCCUUGGCGGUUAGCCAGCCUGAGAGUGUGACCGGGCACAGUGUGACUGAGGUAGGGGCAGGACUGCUACGGGAGGCAGCAGCGGGAAAUAGUGCACGAAGGGCGGAGGCCGGAUGCAGCAAUGUCGCGUCGGGAAUGACUGCUGUCGGGGUAGAACGCGUGUGCGCCUGGGAAGAUGCGUGAGUGACGGUAAUGGGUAAAGAAGCAACGGCUAACUACGUG
Molecule: ribosomal RNA, 468 nt
Filed under: uncultured bacterium
Lineage: Bacteria
Description: partial 16S ribosomal RNA
Rfam family: Bacterial small subunit ribosomal RNA
Source: RNAcentral